RNAcentral lists this ribosomal RNA (119 nucleotides) under Lepisosteus oculatus (spotted gar). Lineage: Eukaryota; Metazoa; Chordata; Actinopteri; Semionotiformes; Lepisosteidae. The record is from RNAcentral.
GCCAGCAGCCAUGUCACCCUGCAGUUCCCAGCUGGCAGCCCACUGGAGCUCAGCAGGUGUGAGCCUGGUCAGUGCCUGGAUGGGAGACCUCCUGGGAAAAUCUAAGGUUGCUGCCGGAA